RNAcentral lists this ribosomal RNA (467 nucleotides) under uncultured bacterium. Its description in RNAcentral is "partial 16S ribosomal RNA". It matches the Rfam family "Bacterial small subunit ribosomal RNA", at positions 28 to 507 of the family's 1533-position model. The record is from RNAcentral.
GACGAACGCUGGCGGCGUGCUUAACACAUGCAAGUCGAACGGAAAGGCCCUGCUUGUGUGGGGUGCUCGAGUGGCGAACGGGUGAGUAACACGUGAGUACCUGCCCUUGACUUUGGGAUAACUUCAGGAAACUGGGGCUAAUACCGGAUAGGAGCUCCUGCUGCAUGGUGGGGGUUGGAAAGUUUCGGCGGUUGGGGAUGGACUCGCGGCUUAUCAGCUUGUUGGUGGGGUAGUGGCUUACCAAGGCUUUGACGGGUAGCCGGCCUGAGAGGGUGACCGGCCACAUUGGGACUGAGAUACGGCCCAGACUCCUACGGGAGGCAGCAGUGGGGAAUAUUGCACAAUGGGCGGAAGCCUGAUGCAGCAACGCCGCGUGCGGGAUGACGGCCUUCGGGUUGUAAACCGCUUUCGCCUGUGACGCAGCGUGAGUGACGGUAAUGGGUAAAGAAGCACCGGCUAACUACGUG